This 67-nucleotide transfer RNA is filed under the name Loxodonta africana (African savanna elephant). It matches the Rfam family "tRNA". Rfam says of the family: Transfer RNA (tRNA) molecules are approximately 80 nucleotides in length. Their secondary structure includes four short double-helical elements and three loops (D, anti-codon, and T loops). Lineage: Eukaryota; Metazoa; Chordata; Mammalia; Proboscidea; Elephantidae. The record is from Rfam by way of RNAcentral.
AGUAGCAUAGUGGUUAAAUGUUUGGCUGCUAACCAAAAAGUUGGUAGUUCAAAUCCACCAGCAACUC